CGGCAUCAGCUCAAAUUUGAAAUCUGGCUCUUUCAGGGUCCGAGUUGUAAUUUGCAGAGGGAGCUUUCGAGUUGGCAGCGGUCUAAGUUCCUUGGAACAGGACGUCACAGAGGGUGAGAGCCCCGUACGGUUGGACGCCUAGCCU
Molecule: ribosomal RNA, 145 nt
Filed under: Cucurbitariaceae sp.
Lineage: Eukaryota; Fungi; Ascomycota; Dothideomycetes; Pleosporales; Cucurbitariaceae
Description: partial large subunit ribosomal RNA
Rfam family: Eukaryotic large subunit ribosomal RNA
Source: RNAcentral